ACUCAAAGGAAUAGACGGGGGCCCGCACAAGCAGUGGAGUAUGUGGUUUAAUUCGAAGCAACGCGAAGAACCUUACCGGGGCUUGACAUCUGCCGAAGUCCAAGAGAUUGGAUGUGCCUUCGGGAGCGGCAAGACAGGUGGUGCAUGGUUGUCGUCAGCUCGUGUCGUGAGAUGUUGGGUUAAGUCCCGCAACGAGCGCAACCCCUAUUGUUAGUUGCCAUCAUUAAGUUGGGCACUCUAACGAGACUGCCGGUGACAAAUCGGAGGAAGGUGGGGACGACGUCAAAUCAUCAUGCCCCUUAUGUCCCGGGCUACACACGUACUACAAUGGCCGUUAACAACGGGAAGCGAAGUCGCGAGGCGGAGCAAAUCCCCAAAAACGGUCUCAGUUCGGAUUGCAGGCUGCAACCCGCCUGCAUGAAGUUGGAAUUGCUAGUAAUCGCGAAUCAGCAUGUCGCGGUGAAUACGUUCCCGGGCCUUGCACACACCGCCCGU
Molecule: ribosomal RNA, 495 nt
Filed under: uncultured bacterium
Lineage: Bacteria
Description: bacterial SSU rRNA
Rfam family: Bacterial small subunit ribosomal RNA
Source: RNAcentral